GUUGGGUAUGAUGGUGUGCAUCCGUAGUCCCAGCAACUCUGGAAGCAAAGGCCAGGAGGAUUUCUUGAGCCCAGGGGUUCUGGGCUGUAGUGCACUGUGCUGACCUGCUGCCAUACCAAGGUUCUGCAUCAGGAGAGUGAGCUCCCAGGACCAGAGGACCACCAGGAGGCAUGGGCCAGCCUAGGCUGGACAUAGAGCAGGUCAGAACUCCUAUGCUGAUUAGUAGUGGGAUUGCCCCUGUGAAUAGCCACUGCACUCCAGCUUGGACAACAUAGAGAGGUCCUGCCUCUU
Unclassified non-coding RNA from Callithrix jacchus (white-tufted-ear marmoset), 291 nucleotides. It matches the Rfam family "Metazoan signal recognition particle RNA". Rfam says of the family: The signal recognition particle (SRP) is a universally conserved ribonucleoprotein. It is involved in the co-translational targeting of proteins to membranes. NCBI's taxonomy places the organism in Eukaryota, Metazoa, Chordata, Mammalia, Primates, Cebidae. The record is from Ensembl.